GGAGGAGAGGUCCAGAGAGGGACUGCCACGUGCUGUGGUCACACAGUGAGUUGGGUGCAACCGGCCACUUGUGCUUCUCCAAAGCCCCGCUUCUUUCUGGGCUGGCCCAGGGCUGGGUUUAUGGGAUGCCAGUCGAGUGAGGGCAGCCCCCGGCCCUGCAGCCCCGUGGGGCUGGAAUGGUGCCAUCCACAGUCGCCGUCCUCCCCACCCCACCCAGGGAAGGCUGCUCAUCGGCCCGCAUUUAGACGCGGCAGCAGAUUUUCGGGUUGCUCCCAGAUCCUGAGGGUCGGGUGGAGGGAACAGGACUCGGGCCAUCUGCUGCCUCCAUUGUCCCAGAAUAGCUGGGGGUAGGGAGGGGGAGCAGAGUCAGCAAGGAUCAGAAUUGGGAUGAAGGAAGGAGGGAGUCUGAGUUUAACUCUUUGCGUGUCUGCCUGGGAAGUUAGGAAGCUCCCUGUGCCCUGUGCUGAAGUGACCCAUCUGGGCCCCAGAAGCAGGGGCUGAGUGUGGGGUGGGGUAGCAAGGUUAGACCACCUAGUCUUGGCCUUGCCAUGCCCCUUGGGCACAUAGCUGCCGCUGAGCUUCCUCCCGUUUAGCCUGAGCUCUGCCUGCCCAUUUUAGGGUGCAUGUGGAUGGGAUACUUUGAGGACCAUGGGUGGUCACUGAUCCUUCGGCUAGGUGGCUGAGGGUAGGCCCCCAUGAUAACAGGGACAGAGAGUGACUCCAGAACAGGAGCCCUGGCCUGGGGCAGACACCAGAAGGAACCUGGAGAUCUCCUAUAGGGGUCUAUGGCUCCCUCAACCAGCCCCUAUCCCCAGCAAGGAGUGUGCAGGGGCCCAAGGUAGGUCUCCUCUCCUCCCAGCAACCUUUUUCUUUUUUGAGACAGUCUCACUUUGCCACCAAGGCUGGAGUGCAGUGGCAUGAUCUUGGCUCACUGCAACUUCUGCCUCCUGGGUUCAAGUGAUUCUUGGGCUUCAGCCUCCUGAGUAGCUGGGAUUACAGGCACGUGCCACCACGCCUGGCUAAUUUUUGCAUUUUUAGUAGAGACAGGGUUUUGCCAAGUUGGCCAGGCUGGUCUCAAACUCCUGACCUCAAGUGAUCUGCCCUCCUCGGCCUCCCAAAGUGCUGGGAUUAUAGAUGUGCGCCACCGUGCCCGGCCCUGGCAAUCUUUUAAUUGAUGCACCUGCUCCUGCUGUGAGUGAGGUGGACUCCACCCCGGGAGGCUGGUGACCUAUCAUCUCAGCUUUGCCCUUCUAUUGGGAAACUGAGGCACAGAAGGGGAGAAGGUCCUUGGGCCAGGUCACAGGUCUUCUCGGUGCCAGAGCCAAGGUUGGAGGCAGCCUGGCUCUGCAGUGGUCAUCUCGCUGCGGGACAACUUUGAAGAGUUGGACAACCUCCUCAGGCCUGGGCUCCACCCUGCUGCCCACCUGUGGCUCUAUGCCCUUAGGCAGGUGGCUUCACUGUUCACUGGCCUCUCAUCUGUAAAAUGGGCACAGUGGCUCCUAUGCAGCAGGCUGUGAGGCUUUGAGAUGCUGCAUAGAAAGCUCCUGAUGCGGGGUAGUUGUUCAGUAAGUAGCACCUCUCUGUCCUUGCUGAGCUCACGUUAUCAGCAGUAAGAGGUUGGGGUACUGGGCUGGCCAUCACCUCCACUCCCUACCUUGGCUGUUAUCACAGCAGCCUCCUCGCUGCUCCUGUAGUCCUCUCUCCACUGCUCACUGGCUCCUGGCACAAUGGCCUCCUUGCUUGCUGUGGCAGGUGCCACGUUCUCUGCCAGCACCAGUUCUUGCCUCUCCUUGUAUUGCAACCCUCACUCCUGCACAGCUGGCUUGUUCUUGUCAAGCUCCCAUGUCCCACCUCUUAGGGAGGCUCCCCACUCCCAUCACACAGCAGCCACCUGGUGGUCAUCAAUCACCUCCUGUUAUAGUCACUCAUAACCCGUCACCCUUGCAGACCUGCCUUCCAGGUAUUUGUUGUCUACUCCCACCUGGCUGUGAGCUCCACGGUCAGGGAUCCCCUUGGUUCUGUUCCCUGUAGCUCAUGACCUGGCAUAGUAGAUCCUCAACAAAUAUUUGAGGAACGAACAGAAACAUAAGUGAACGGACUUCUCAGAUCUCUUCCAGCUCUGUCAGUGUUUUAAGAUGCUGUGGAAGGUACUGAAAUAACUGAGGCAAUGCAGUGGGGCUUCCUAAUGGAGGGAUCAGGCUGGCAAUACCAGAACGCACCAAGCCUUCUUAGUAUCGCCCAGAAAGCGUUCUUAGUAUGCUCCAGAUGUGAUCCCAUAGGAAGGACACAGCACUUCCCAGGAAGUCCGCUUGCUAGAAUGAUUGACCCUACAUCACCUCAACCCUCUGGACCUAAACACCAGUCUACAGGAAGCAGGAGGACAGUGCAACAUGUUAAAUGACACCACGAGGGUUCGGUCUGCCACAUCAACAAUGAGGACAGUCUCACAUGACGAAGGGCCUGGUUUCCUCAACAAGUAAAAGGGCAUAAAAAGGAAGAGAGAAAAGACUGUUAGAGAGGAAAAUAGAUUUAAGGGAUAAAGCACCAAAAUGCAAUGUAUGGGUCAGGUGCCAUGGCUCACACCUGUAAUCCCAGCACUUUGGGAGGCCAAGGUGGGCCGAUCACCUGAGGUCAGGAGUUCCAGACCAGCCUGGCCAACAUGGAGAAACCCUGUCUCUACUGAAAAUACAGAAAUUAGCCAGGUGUGGUGGUGGGCACCUGUAAUCCCAGCUACUUGGGAGGCUGAGGCAGGAGAAUUGCUUGAACCCAGAGGCAAAGGUUGCAGUGAGCCGAGAUCACGCUGCUACAUUCCAGCCUGGGAAACAAGACCUUGUUUAGAUCUUUAUUCAAGCAGACGAACCCUAAAAAGGCAUUUUUCAGGAAAACGAGAAAAUUUGAAGAUGGCCUGCAUAUUAGAGGAUCUUAAGGAAUGGUUCAUUGUAUUAGGUAUGGUGAUGAUGUUGGGCUUAUUUUUAGAAAUGUGCUAGUGUGUGAGAGAUACAUUCUGAAAUAUUCAUGGGUGAAAUGAUCUGAUGUCUGACAUUUUUGUUAAAAAGGGGCUUGAGGGAGGAAUGGAAUGAGAAUGGCAAAGUGGGUAUGGCAGUUAGAGCUGGGUGAUGGGUGCGUGGGAGUGCCUCAUACCAGUCCCUCUACUUCUGUAGGGGUUUGAGACUUUCCAUAAUAAAAGUAAAAUGGAAUAAAUAAAA
This is a long non-coding RNA of Pan troglodytes (chimpanzee), 3206 nucleotides long. RefSeq lists it as uncharacterized. NCBI's taxonomy places the organism in Eukaryota, Metazoa, Chordata, Mammalia, Primates, Hominidae. The record is from RefSeq and is a predicted model, not a curated record. The transcript has 2 exons.